Non-coding RNA from Tetranychus urticae (two-spotted spider mite), 5080 nucleotides. The record is from RefSeq and is a predicted model, not a curated record. NCBI's taxonomy places the organism in Eukaryota, Metazoa, Arthropoda, Arachnida, Trombidiformes, Tetranychidae.
UUUCGGUCUUUUUGUUUGUUUGUUUGUUUGCUUAUAAAUUGUUUACAAUCCAAUUUAAUCUUCUGCCUUGUGUUAGUUUCUUAAUCCAGUGCAAGUUUAUUUAGACAAUAAUUUCAAACUUUAGUGGCAAAAAAUUAGUUCAGAUGCACAGCAAUUCAUAAUUUUAUGAUGUUACAAAGGAAUGUGAAAAAGGAAAUGCAUUUCUCAAAUGUUUUUCUUAUCAUCGCAAUAAAUCGGAAAUGGAUUUCCUCUUGAAACAGCAGAGGCCAACAGCUCUCUAUCAAUCCUUUGGCCUUUCAAUCGCCUGGUCCUGUUUUUUUCGGACAUCACACCAAAAGUAUCCCACUGAGAAGGCUCUUGUGUUUAAGGUGCAGACUUUCAUAAUAGUCUUGAUGUUUGUUGGGUCAACUUUUUGUUUAAGGCAACCCUUCGUUAAGUUGGUCGUUGGUGGCAAACAGGCAAUAAUGAGGACAAAGUCUAUUUUACCAUUCAACAUGACCAGAUUUACCUUAUCAUAAUCACCUAGACAUAUAGCGUAACUAGAAUUGGCAGGAUUUAAUUACCAAGCACCUUAAUUGUUGAGUUGACUCAAUCCGGUUCCAAGAAAUCAAGUCAAUCUCAUUUACGGAGUUCAGAAAAGCAAUAUUUGGAAGCAAAUUUAAAGAGGAAAAGAGCUAAAAAAGGUUUGAUGACCUUCAAAUCGAAAAGAACUUUCAUUUUAUCAUAAAAAUAUUAUGGUUAAAUUGAAGAGAAAUAACUUUGGAUUGUUACCUUUUCACUCUUCCCUCUACUUAUCUAAUUUAAUGGCCGCGAUAGUCCUGUUCAUGUAUGUGUAUGUACACAAAAAUAUAUGUGUGUUGGGUAAAAAAAGGUUGAUGUUAACUAAAAAGUUCACAGUUAUAACCAAUGGAAUUUUAAAAGUUUAACUUUAGAUGUGUUAUUACUAUUACCAUUAUUGUUGUUAUUAUCAUCAUUAUUAUUACUAUUAUGAUUAUUAUUACAGGCAACAACUCUUGAGUUGACGGUUCAAGCAUCAAUAUCAAUAUAAAAACAAAAAACACUAAAACAAGAUUUAUUUUGGUCUCUGCCCUUUUUGCUUUGGUCUUUUUUUCUCUAAUCUUGCUAAGAAGUACAAUAAUGAUCAUCACCAAUUGCAAUCACCAUCGCCAUCAUGAGCACCAUUCCAAGGACUAAUGUGGCUACCAAUUAUCUUCUCAAUGAUGCUCAUGGUGAUCCUGUUGUUAAUACAAAUGAGAUGAACCUUGAUUGGUUUGAGGAGCGAGAAAAAAGCUGAUGAUGAUAAUGAUGAUGAUGGCUAAUAGGAUGGGAAUUACAAGAGCAGUUAUUGAACAAAAUAGCUUCUGAUGGAUUAUUUUACUCUUUUUUUUCUGCCAACUCUAUUCUUUAAUGAUGAUGGUCCUGUUUAAUUGUGAUUAGGCGUUUUUUACUCUCCAUAUUCAAGUAUCUCAAGGCUCACCAUUGCUGUUCAUUUAUUCACAGAUCAGAUGGAUUAGAAUUGAUAAAAUUUUUCCAGUUUAUUAAUUUUUACCCAUUCAAUUCACUAAUUAAUGAACAAGGCAACAUUUAAACACGCAGUUAUUCAAUCAGAAAGACCAGAAGUUAUCACAUUGUCAAUGGAAUCCAAAGGAUGCCAACAAACAGCAGGAAAUUGAUGAUUUAAUGGAUCAUAAUUUGAACAUUUUUUACUCCAUUAUUGGACUGUUAUUAUCAACCAAUUGUUAUAACUGCUAAUGCUAAUUAAUGUUGAACCUUUUUCAGCUCAUUUCCGGACAAUCAAAUGUCUUUAAUUUCCAUCAUCUCUAAGGAUUAAAACCAAAUCUAAUAAGAUUUCAUGGUUAAUUCAGGGAAACCUGAAAUAGAGCAAUUUGCUGUGCAAUUACAAUCUUUAAUUUUCAUCUUUACAUCCACAUCAAUUUGGAAGGAAAAAAACAAAAUCAUGCAAAAACAAGUUAAAGUCAAUGGAUGAUGUUGUUUGUUACUGCUGAUGAAAAUGAUGAUGAUGAUAAUAUUAAUAAUAAUAAUGAAGCUGCUGUUUUGAUGGUUAGUUAUUUUGGGGUUGAUUGUUGAUAAGAAUCAGGACAAAAUCAUGAGUAUCUUCGGUAGUUACCAAGUUGGAACAUUAAAACGCAUUGCAAUUGAUCUUGAUGCUCAUUAUUUUUUUUCCCUAUCAUCUUGAUGAUCAUCUUCAUCACCAUAAACCAUCAUCAAUUGAGUCUAUCAUCCAAGCAAGCUGUUAUACAGUUAAAUUGUUAACAAGAGAGAGAUGGAUCAAGAGAGAAACGAUUAUAAUGAUGAUAGAAAUGAGAACAUUUUAUCGUGAAAAUGUGAUGAAAGAAGGCUUUCUCUUCUCGUUGAAUAUAUAUUUAUAUAAUAUCAGCUUCUGAUAAUUGACAGACUAUCUGAUGCUGUCAUGAUGAAGAGUUGAAGAGUUGAAGGCAAAAAAACUGAAUUAUUUUUUCUCUAUCAUGAAAAAUAUCGCCUCGCUUGCUUGAAAUGAAUAUAUGUUUUGCUGGAUAGAUAUUUUUUAAUUUUUUUCAUUAUAACCAUGAAUAUGAAACUAAUGUUGUUAACAUAUUAAGUUAUGAAUAUUCUAAUAGUUUCAGUCUCUGACCAGAUUAUUAUAAUAUUAUAUUGUAUUGCCUAAAGAAUCAAGCAGCUAUUAUUUUCGUUGGGAAAUAUUUAUAUGUUAACAACCUUGUCAAAUUUUAUUGUUGCUUUCUUGGUGUUUUUUUUAUUCUGACUUUCAGGUUUUACAUAUUAGAUUAUUUCCUUUUUUCAUACCUUAUUAACAUGAUAAUUUAAACCUUUACCCUAAUUUGAUUGAGCUUGCAAAAUUAACCUUAACCAAAAUGAUAACCUCCUCCAGUAUCUUAUUCAGACACUUUUUCCUCUGCCUUUUCAUUUUGUUGUUGUUUUUUUUCCUUGUUGACUUCAAUUCCAAUGAAAAUGACAUUAUGAUGAUAGAAAUGAUUCUGAUUAUUAUAAUUAUGAUGGGAAGAUGAUUUUGAAAGGUCUUGUCUUAGGAAAGGUAUGGAAAGAAAAAACGUGAGACCAAUUCUCAACAAUUAAGCUUAAUCAAAGGUUGGAUUAAGCUUUGUUCAUUCCUCUUUCAGUCUCGGUGUGUGACAAAACAUUAACCCAACCGGUAACCACAAUUAUGUAAAUCCAUUGCCAACAAAAUAUUUAUGCAUUCAUCAUAUCUAUGACUAAGGAUGACGGAUGAGGGAUCAUCGUGUUAGCCAGGUAGGAAGAGAAAUAGCAAAAAAAUAUAUCGUCAUCAUCAUUAAGAAUAAAAAUGAAGCCCUGAAUGAUCCAUAAGAAGAAGGGAAAAAAAUGUUGACAGUUGAAUCAAGUGAGGAGAAACAGGUAAUGUUAAAUAGAUGAUUUAAAGAUGAGUGUGAUGAUGACGAUAAUGAAAAGAUCACAUGAGGCAGGAUAAAUAAGCAAAAGGUAAAUGUGGAUGACGAUGAGACGAAGAUGAUGGUGAUGAUGAUGAAAGUAAUGCAAAAAAAGACGAAGAGGAAGCUUUGAAAUGUGGUUGUGACCCUUGAAUGUAGAAGACCAAAGAGAAAGUCCUGUCUAAAAUUUCCCAUGUUAUUGUCUUACCCUUAGGCACUGUUUACCUACAAAAUGACUGUUGACUCAAGGUAAGCUUGUACAUGUAUGACAAUAAUGUUGCCAGUGGAAAAGCAAAAGAGAGCGAAAAUAAAUAAAAUAAAGUAUUAUGAUAAAAAUGCGAAAAUAAAGUAACAAAUAAAAAAUAAUCAAGAAAUGUCAAUCUAAGACGAAAGAUAGCGUUAGGAUCAAGGCUUAUUGAUAUGCUUAUGCAGAGAGCAAAAGAAGUAAACAGAAAGCUUGUUCUUGAUCUUGUGUCUUUUUUACCUUCCACCUUCCACCUUUGUCCCUUAUUAUUUGGACAGGACAAAUAUUACUUUAAUUACCAGUCUCUUUAACUGUUGCUCCCAAUGGUAACAAGGUGAACAGUGUCUCCUUUCUCCUCUCUUUCUCCUCUUUCUUUCCCCUUUUUUCACUCUAUUGUCUCCUCAAAACAAAUCAGGACAAUAAUGAGGAUCAAGGUAGGUUGGCAAAAAAGCAUCACCAACUUUUUUUUCUGGCCAAUUCUGUUCUGAACUUUACCUGAUUUUGCUUUGUUCUCUGCCUUUCUUGUGUCCCAAGAGUCCAUUUCGCUAUACAUAUUAGCAGAUAUAAUUUUCAAUGGUCAUUUUCACGUUAACCCAAGAAUCAACAAAGGCAAUAAUAACAAUAACAACAAUAAACAAACGGUGGAUCUAAUGAUGAUGAAAGGUCUUGGAGACUCCAAUCAAUUUUGAUUAUUUGCUUGUUGGCUAAAGCAAGGCUUGUAAAGAUCUUCACCUUUCAAGAUGUAAGGUCCGGACAACAAGGAGACAAACAAAGGAGACGAAAGGAAACAAAUUUUUUUCUAUCAAUUUUAUAAUCAUCUAAUUGCACUUCUGAAAAUCAAACACAAAUGGUGAUGCUGGCGGUGAUGUUUAUGACAAUGAUUAUAUUAGUGAUGAUAGUUUGCUUUGUCGAUCCUUUGUCAAUUUCAAACGACAAUCAACAAUCCACUUUCAUCACAAUCAUCAUCAGCAUCACACACUCAACACAAAUAAGGUUUGAUAUUAUUCAAUCAAUAAAAAGACCAAUGACAAUUGAUAAAAAUUGUCCACAAAACAAAAUGAGUUCAUAGUAGGGUGCUUACCACAGCGAGUUAACCUUGGGUGGCAGGUAAAAAGCCAGAUGAUCCAAAAGGAAAAGGCAAGGCAAGCAGAUGAAAGAGAAUGUUGAAGAUGAAGACAAAGAAGCUAUACAUCUUUAAGAUCUUUACUGAUAUUGGGUUGCAGGACCAGUAAGGGACUACCGAUCAAACCUAGUUGUCUAUCAUAAAGAUUAUUGAAGCAGAAGAAAGAAAGCAUAACCUGCAGGGGUUUAUAAAUUUCAAUAUCAUGUUGAGUCUGUAUGCUACGUAUUUGCUUCAAGAUGAUUUUGUUUAAAUGAUGAAGGUAUGAAGAGGGGAAAUAGAGAGAGAAAAAGAAAG